RNAcentral lists this ribosomal RNA (1358 nucleotides) under uncultured bacterium. Its description in RNAcentral is "bacterial SSU rRNA". It matches the Rfam family "Bacterial small subunit ribosomal RNA", at positions 28 to 1381 of the family's 1533-position model. The record is from RNAcentral.
GAUGAACGCUAGCUACAGGCUUAACACAUGCAAGUCGAGGGGCAGCAUGGUCUUAGCUUGCUAAGGCCGAUGGCGACCGGCGCACGGGUGAGUAACACGUAUCCAACCUGCCGUCUACUCUUGGACAGCCUUCUGAAAGGAAGAUUAAUACAAGAUGGCAUCAUGAGUCCACAUGUUCACAUGAUUAAAGGUAUUCCGGUAGACGAUGGGGAUGCGUUCCAUUAGAUAGUAGGCGGGGUAACGGCCCACCUAGUCUUCGAUGGAUAGGGGUUCUGAGAGGAAGGUCCCCCACAUUGGAACUGAGACACGGUCUAAACUCCUACGGGAGGCAGCAGUGAGGAAUAUUGGUCAAUGGGCGAGAGCCUGAACCAGCCAAGUAGCGUGAAGGAUGACUGCCCUAUGGGUUGUAAACUUCUUUUAUAAAGGAAUAAAGUCGGGUAUGGAUACCCGUUUGCAUGUACUUUAUGAAUAAGGAUCGGCUAACUCCGUGCCAGCAGCCGCGGUAAUACGGAGGAUCCGAGCGUUAUCCGGAUUUAUUGGGUUUAAAGGGAGCGUAGAUGGAUGUUUAAGUCAGUUGUGAAAGUUUGCGGCUCAACCGUAAAAUUGCAGUUGAUACUGGAUAUCUUGAGUGCAGUUGAGGCAGGCGGAAUUCGUGGUGUAGCGGUGAAAUGCUUAGAUAUCACGAAGAACUCCGAUUGCGAAGGCAGCCUGCUAAGCUGCAACUGACAUUGAGGCUCGAAAGUGUGGGUAUCAAACAGGAUUAGAUACCCUGGUAGUCCACACGGUAAACGAUGAAUACUCGCUGUUUGCGAUAUACAGCAAGCGGCCAAGCGAAAGCGUUAAGUAUUCCACCUGGGGAGUACGCCGGCAACGGUGAAACUCAAAGGAAUUGACGGGGGCCCGCACAAGCGGAGGAACAUGUGGUUUAAUUCGAUGAUACGCGAGGAACCUUACCCGGGCUUAAAUUGCAGAUGAAUUACGGUGAAAGCCGUAAGCCGCAAGGCAUCUGUGAAGGUGCUGCAUGGUUGUCGUCAGCUCGUGCCGUGAGGUGUCGGCUUAAGUGCCAUAACGAGCGCAACCCUUGUUGUCAGUUACUAACAGGUUCCGCUGAGGACUCUGACAAGACUGCCAUCGUAAGAUGUGAGGAAGGUGGGGAUGACGUCAAAUCAGCACGGCCCUUACGUCCGGGGCUACACACGUGUUACAAUGGGGGGUACAGAGGGCCGCUACCACGCGAGUGGAUGCCAAUCCCAAAAACCUCUCUCAGUUCGGACUGGAGUCUGCAACCCGACUCCACGAAGCUGGAUUCGCUAGUAAUCGCGCAUCAGCCACGGCGCGGUGAAUACGUUCCCGGGCCU